RNAcentral lists this unclassified non-coding RNA (1929 nucleotides) under uncultured fungus. RNAcentral's name for it is "sequence contains 18S rRNA gene, ITS1, 5.8S rRNA gene, ITS2, 28S rRNA gene". The stretch from base 820 to 1929 matches the Rfam family "Eukaryotic large subunit ribosomal RNA", at positions 1 to 961 of the family's 3401-position model. The record is from RNAcentral. Lineage: Eukaryota; Fungi.
GGAAGGAUCAUUAACACGUAUCCACGUUAUCAAACCAAUGAGAACCGUUUUCCCGUCUCCCUGCUGCAUGAAAUGAAUUGGAACCAGUUUGAGGGGGUGAUGGGACUGAAAAGUCGACCUUCCUGGCACACUGAUGUUCACUUUCCGUUUAUUCGGAGAUUGGCAUCGACAAUUGUAUUUGUGUUCUGCAGGCUAAUUCUUUAUCGCUUUUGAUCCCCUCACGAUCGUGGCGGUAGGGAAGCCCUUCAAACUACAUUUACCCCCCCCUUUUUGCUAGUUGACUUUUUAUAUGUGUUGUGGAAUUCAUUCUCGGCACACGUUUAUUAAUUGAACGUUAAAAAAUACAACUCUUAGCAAUGGAUAUCUUGGUUCUCGCAACGAUGAAGAACGCAGCGAAAUGCGAUACGUAAUGCGAAUUGCAGAAUUCAGUGAAUCAUCAAAUCUUUGAACGCAAAUUGCGCUCUUGGGUAGCCCUAGGAGCACGCCUCUCUCAGUAUCGGUUCAACAAUCUCUCAGCAGCGUAUAGCAAUAUGCGUGAUGGCUGGAUAAUGAGAGUCUGAGUUCGCGCUCAGUCUCUUGAAAUGCAUGGAGUAAACAUGGCUAGCGAUCAACUCUGCUCUUCGGAGCAGAUAGUCAAUUCUCUGACUGUUGUUUCAUUAGUGACGUGAAUACUGGCCUUUCUUGGUCUUUCCCUUUUACGUGUAUCUUUUGAGCAAUGCUAUAAAGUCUAGGAUUUGGCGAACGUUCGUUUCUAGGGUGUGUUUUAUGGAAGAAAACCAUAUGAUCCGCGUAACGUUUGUUAUGUGAAUCUGAAUUUUUUGAUCUGAGAUGAAGCGAGACAACCCCCUGAAUUUAAGCAUAUUAAUAAGGGGAGGAAAAGAAACUAACAAGGAUUCCCCCAGUAACGGCGAGUGAAGCGGGAAGAGCUCAAUUUGAAAAUCGAUUACCUAAACGGGUCAUCGAGUUGUAGCCUAUAGACGUACUAUCAGCUGAAACCUGGGUAUAAGUUCUUUGGAAUGAGGCAUCAUAGAGGGUGAGAAUCCCGUAUAUGACCCAAAGCUUUCAGCGUACGAUGUGCGUUCAUCGAGUCGAGUUGUUUGGGAUUGCAGCUCUAAAUGGGUGGUAAGUUUCAUCUAAAGCUAAAUAUAGGCGAGAGACCGAUAGCGAACAAGUACCGUGAGGGAAAGAUGAAAAGAACUUUGAAAAGAGAGUUAAAAGUACUUGAAAUUGCUAAGAGGGAAGCGCUAAAAACCAGUGAUACGCUAGGUCAAUCGUUCUUGGCCCCACUAGUUCGUCUGAGUAAUGGGCAACCUUGCUUUGGCGGACGAAAGGGUGGUUGGGGAUUUCUGAUUUAGUGUCAGUCAAGAUCAAUUCGGAUUGUGGGAGAAGGUAGCGAGGAAGGUAGGAGAGCAAUCUCUGUUAUAUCCUUGUUACUCUACCUCGGCCUGGAUUGAGGAAGUAAUAGUGCGCUGCUUGCGGCUUGGUCCUGCGUUUCUAUUGCCCUACUUGCUCUCAUAGCAAUGCUAUGUCUGUGGGAAAAGGUAAUACUGGGCGUGGUGAUUCUAUGUGCUAUCACGAUCUUGUACGAAAUGGUUUUUAUCGACCCGUCUUGAAACACGGACCAAGGAGUCUAACAUCUAUGCAAGUAUUUGGGUGCAAAACCCUGAUGCGUAAUGAAAGUAAAGGCGGACUUGUUUCCGCUGAGGUAGGAAUCCUGCAAGGGAGGCACUAUCGACCGAUCAUCACUUGUGAAAGAUUUGAGUAAGAGCAUAUCUGUUGGGACCCGAAAGAUGGUGAUCUAUGCCUGAACAGGGUGAAGCCAGGGGAAACUCUGGUGGAGGCUCGUAGCGAUACUGACGUGCAAAUCGUUCGUCUGAUUUGGGUAUAGGGGCGAAAGACUAAUCGAACCAUCUAGUAGCUGGUUCCCUC